UACUCAGCACCAAGUGCCCCAUCCAGGCAGCCAGGGAUCACACAGGUGCAGGAUGCUACUACACCAACAAUGUGUAAGCCUAUAGAAUGAGCUAAAUGUAGGUUUAGCACCAGUACAGGGCAGGCAAUACAAUGUAAAGCAAUCCACACAGCGCUACCGAGCAUGCAUGCCAAUAAUCUGACUUCCCUCUCUGAGCAAUUCCUGGAGGUACACAGAGGUGCAUAAAGAAAAUGGUGGCUGCAGAACUUCCAUCCUGGAAAAAGCACAUCCUCCAGUUUCAGGUGAUACUACUUCCCACAUUUGCAACAAGAAUAUCAAUCAGAGAGAUUUUAUAUUAAAGACCUUAAGAAUAUUCCAACAUGGAAUACUUUAGAGACAAAUCCAACUGGAAUUUGGAAUAGAUAAAAUCAGAAGUUACAGACGA
This is a long non-coding RNA of Pseudophryne corroboree (corroboree frog), 424 nucleotides long. RefSeq lists it as uncharacterized. The record is from RefSeq and is a predicted model, not a curated record. NCBI's taxonomy places the organism in Eukaryota, Metazoa, Chordata, Amphibia, Anura, Myobatrachidae. The transcript is spliced from 2 exons.